This is a long non-coding RNA of Octopus sinensis (East Asian common octopus), 163 nucleotides long. RefSeq lists it as uncharacterized. The record is from RefSeq and is a predicted model, not a curated record. The transcript has 3 exons. Lineage: Eukaryota; Metazoa; Mollusca; Cephalopoda; Octopoda; Octopodidae.
GUUUGUAAGCAAGCUACUAAUAACACCUACGCAAAUUUUACAAACAAAACAUUCAAAAGAGAUUUCUCAGGAAUUCAGUCACUACUACCACCCACAACGAGUCACUUUCAGGGCACUUGACCAUUUAACAUCCUACUACUAUCAUGGCAUCCCCGCAUUCUUC